GUAGUCCACGCCGUAAACGAUGGCCACUCGGCCUUUGGAGGCGGAAUCUCCGUCUUUGGGGGCCUUAGCUAACGCGGGAAGUGGCCCGCCUGGGAACUACGAGCGCAAGCUUAAAACUCAAAGGAAUUGACGGGGCCCGCACAAGCAGCGGAGCGUGUGGUUUAAUUCGAUGCAACGCGCAGAACCUUACCCAGGCUUGACAUGGCGGCAGUAGUCCUGGGGAAACCAGGGGCGACUCGUCAAGGCGAGUACCGUCACAGAUGCUGCAUGGCUGUCGUCAGCUCGUGUCGUGAGAUGUUGGGUUAAG
RNAcentral lists this ribosomal RNA (307 nucleotides) under uncultured bacterium. RNAcentral describes it as "bacterial SSU rRNA". It matches the Rfam family "Bacterial small subunit ribosomal RNA", at positions 790 to 1084 of the family's 1533-position model. The record is from RNAcentral.